This 446-nucleotide ribosomal RNA is filed under the name uncultured bacterium. Its description in RNAcentral is "partial 16S ribosomal RNA". It matches the Rfam family "Bacterial small subunit ribosomal RNA", at positions 338 to 795 of the family's 1533-position model. The record is from RNAcentral.
CCUACGGGCGGCAGCAGUCGAGAAUCAUUCACAAUGGGGGAAACCCUGAUGGUGCGACGCCGCGUGGGGGAAUGAAGGUCUUCGGAUUGUAAACUCCUGUCAUGUGGGAGCAAAUUAAAAAGAUAGUACCACAAGAGGAAGAGACGGCGAACACUGUGCCAGCAGCCGCGGUAAUACAGAGGUCUCAAGCGUUGUUCGGAAGCACUGGGCGUAAAGCGUGCGUAGGCUGUUUCGUAAGACGUGUGUGAAAGGCGCGUGCUCAAGCCGCGGACGGCACAUGAUACUGCGAGACUAGAGUAAUGGAGGGGAUACCGGAAUUCUCGGUGAAGCAGUGAAAGGCGUAGAUAUCGAGAGGAACACUCGUGGCGAAGGCGGGUUCCUGGACAUUAACUGACGCUGAGGCACGAAGGCCAGGGGAGCGAAAGGGAUUAGAUACCCCAGUAGUC